GACGAACGCUGGCGGCGUGCCUAACACAUGCAAGUCAACUUGAGGGAAGGAGCAAUCUGACCUGAUGGGUGGCGCAAGGGUGCGUAACGCGUAAGUAACUUGCCCAAGGUAAGGAAUAACGUCGAGAAAUCGGCGCUAAUACCUCAUAAUGCAGCGGAUCCGCAUGGAUAUGUUGUUAAAGGUUUACCGCCUUGGGAUAGGCUUGCGUCUGAGUUAGCUAGUUGGUGUGGUAAUGGCACACCAAGGCUACGAUCAGUAACUGGUCUGAGUAGGAAUUGAUCAGUCACACUGGAACUGAGACACGGUCCAGACUCCUACGGGAGGCAGCAGUGAGGAAUAUUGGGCAAUGCA
Molecule: ribosomal RNA, 351 nt
Filed under: uncultured bacterium
Lineage: Bacteria
Description: bacterial SSU rRNA
Rfam family: Bacterial small subunit ribosomal RNA
Source: RNAcentral